Molecule: long non-coding RNA, 1449 nt
Filed under: Brassica rapa (field mustard)
Lineage: Eukaryota; Viridiplantae; Streptophyta; Magnoliopsida; Brassicales; Brassicaceae
Description: long non-coding RNA (BRAP_LNC006903)
Source: RNAcentral
AACCAAAUCAUCCCAUAAUCAAUGCUGUUUCAACACUUUCAAUUAACUAAAUCAAAUUUCUAUCUUGCAUCUCGCUAAGGAGAGAAUAACUAACCUUCAUUACGACCUAUCCAAAAGAAUGCUUGCCAGUGGAAACGUUGCGGUCCGACGGCGUUGCCAGAGUAGCUAUCGACGUCGACAACAGAGUUGCUGUAAGGGAGCUGCGAACCAGAGACAAUAACGAGCUUCUCGGGUGGGAGCUGUAGAGGAGCUUUCCUCCUCGAGCUGCGGGGUUUUAUUUUCUUUUAAUUUUAAAUUUUCUUUUUCGAGAAAUCCAAUUGAAUUGAUUCGGUUUCAAUUGAAUUGAAUUAAUGAAACCCAGACCGAAACCCACACCAAACCCAGACCGAAAUCCCCCCCCCCCCAAAUUUGAAUUUUCUUUUUCUUUUUAUUUUUUAUUUUUUUCCCGUCAUUCCCGUCAUUUCACGCCCACUUAAUGAAAAAGGGCAUUCCCGUCAUUUCACGCCCACUUAAUGAAAAAGGGGCAUAGACGAUUAUGGAGCCCAUAGGAGAUUCUGCUUUGUGGUGUUGGGGGCACUAGAGGGGAAAUCGUGUAAUUGUCUCUUCUUCUAUUUCUAAGCUCGAGUCAUAAUAAUCUUCUCUCCUGCUUUUGAAAAACUUUUAUUAUAUCUCAUUUGCUUGUGUCAAAUUGCUUGUUCUCAUAUUUACACUUAACCCAUUUGAUGGGAAUCAAUUUCCACUUUCCCUUUCCAAAGACAGUUUCAAGUUUUAUUAACCAUAUUUGUUGCUACUAAGGUAGUUUUGUUUAGCCAAACUCGCUUUCUUAUUAUAAACUAACUAAAUUAGCAUAGAUUUAAGUGUCUAUUACUUUAACUAAAUUUAAUAUAUGUUUUUACUUUAUUUAACAUAAUAAGGUCUUACUAACAAAUAAAACAAAAUGAAUCCACCUCUCUUUUUUCUUCGUCUUCUUCAUCUUAAGUUCUCAACCAUUUUUUGUAAAAUGAAAUCUGUUUUCUCAGAACUUUUUUUUUAAAAAAAAUUAAUCAAUUAUUAUUUCUAUUUUAUAUCAUUUUUGAGAUAUGCCCAACUGUAUUUUUAACGCUGGUGUAAAGGUCAUGUAAACAACGAUGUCAACGGUAGAGAUCGAUUGAAGCUUCAACCAUGGUGUUUAUGUCUCCUCCUCUCUGUGUUCUCAGCUCCUCCGUCCAAGAUGUUGUCGAUGUGAGGUCUCGUCCACCGGUGGUCAUUGCUAUCCGCCGCGUCUCGUCAACAUCAGCUUCUCCACGUCUUGCCCACGACCUCUCCAUCUUCAAAUCAUGUUCGCAGCCUUCACAGUCCUGUCUCUGCUCCGUCGUAGCUGACUCUCAGUUGCCGUCAACGAGAUCCGGCGAGAAGUGCAAUCUGCAACAUUAAUGGGAAGUAUCACCUUUUUGCACUUUUGGUCCUCUA